This 434-nucleotide ribosomal RNA is filed under the name uncultured Clostridium sp. RNAcentral describes it as "partial 16S ribosomal RNA". It matches the Rfam family "Bacterial small subunit ribosomal RNA", at positions 341 to 792 of the family's 1533-position model. Lineage: Bacteria; Bacillati; Bacillota; Clostridia; Eubacteriales; Clostridiaceae. The record is from RNAcentral.
ACGGAAGGCAGCAGUGGGGAAUAUUGCACAAUGGGGGAAACCCUGAUGCAGCAACGCCGCGUGAGUGAUGACGGUCUUCGGAUUGUAAAGCUCUGUCUUUGGGGACGAUAAUGACGGUACCCAAGGAGGAAGCCACGGCUAACUACGUGCCAGCAGCCGCGGUAGUACGUAGGUGGCGAGCGUUGUCCGGAUUUACUGGGCGUAAAGGGAGCGUAGGCGGAUUCUUAGGUGGGAUGUGAAAUACCCGGGCUUAACCUGGGUGCUGCAUUCCAAACUGGGAAUCUAGAGUGCAGGAGGGGAGAGUGGAAUUCCUAGUGUAGCGGUGAAAUGCGUAGAGAUUAGGAAGAACACCAGUGGCGAAGGCGACUCUCUGGACUGUAACUGACGCUGAGGCUCGAAAGCGUGGGGAGCAAACAGGAUUAGAUACCCUGGUA